AUUGAACGCUGGCGGCACGCUUAACACAUGCAAGUCGAACGGCAGCAUGGUGUGUGCUUGCACACACUGAUGGCGAGUGGCGGACGGGUGAGUAAUGCGCAGGAAUAUGCCUUAAAGAGGGGGAUAACAUGGGGAAACUCAUGCUAAUACCGCAUGUGCUCUGAGGAGCGAAGCUGGGGACCGAAAGGCCUGGCGCUUUAAGAAUAGCCUGCGUCUGAUUAGCUAGUUGGUAGGGUAAAGGCCUACCAAGGCGAUGAUCGGUAGCUGGUCUGAGAGGAUGGACAGCCACACUGGGACUGAGACACGGCCCAGACUCCUACGGGAGGCAGCAGUGGGGAAUAUUGGACAAUGGGGGAACCCGUGAUCCAGCGAUGCCGCGUGUGUGAAGAAGGCCUGAGGGUUGUAAAGCACUUUUAGUGGGGAGGAGGGCUUACAGGUUAAGAGCUAGUGAGUUGGAC
This 458-nucleotide ribosomal RNA is filed under the name uncultured bacterium. RNAcentral describes it as "bacterial SSU rRNA". It matches the Rfam family "Bacterial small subunit ribosomal RNA", at positions 30 to 473 of the family's 1533-position model. The record is from RNAcentral.